AUUGAACGCUGGCGGCAGGCCUAACACAUGCAAGUCGAGCGGAUGAAGGGAGCUUGCUCCUGGAUUCAGCGGCGGACGGGUGAGUAAUGCCUAGGAAUCUGCCUGGCAGUGGGGGAUAACGUCCGGAAACGGGCGCUAAUACCGCAUACGUCCUGAGGGAGAAAGUGGGGGAUCUUCGGACCUCACGCUCUCAGAUGAGCCUAGGUCGGAUUAGCUAGUUGGUGGGGUAAAGGCCUACCAAGGCGACGAUCCGUAACUGGUCUGAGAGGAUGAUCAGUCACACUGGAACUGAGACACGGUCCAGACUCCUACGGGAGGCAGCAGUGGGGAAUAUUGGACAAUGGGCGAAAGCCUGAUCCAGCCAUGCCGCGUGUGUGAAGAAGGUCUUCGGAUUGUAAAGCACUUUAAGUUGGGAGGAAGGGCAGUAAGUUAAUACCUUGCUGUUUUGACGUUACCAACAGAAUAAGCACCGGCUAACUUCGUG
RNAcentral lists this ribosomal RNA (484 nucleotides) under uncultured bacterium. RNAcentral describes it as "partial 16S ribosomal RNA". It matches the Rfam family "Bacterial small subunit ribosomal RNA", at positions 30 to 507 of the family's 1533-position model. The record is from RNAcentral.